RNAcentral lists this ribosomal RNA (234 nucleotides) under Escherichia coli. RNAcentral describes it as "partial 23S ribosomal RNA". It matches the Rfam family "Bacterial large subunit ribosomal RNA", at positions 159 to 431 of the family's 2925-position model. RNAcentral also lists the same sequence under 1 other name. Lineage: Bacteria; Pseudomonadati; Pseudomonadota; Gammaproteobacteria; Enterobacterales; Enterobacteriaceae. The record is from RNAcentral.
UGAAUCCAUAGGUUAAUGAGGCGAACCGGGGGAACUGAAACAUCUAAGUACCCCGAGGAAAAGAAAUCAACCGAGAUUCCCCCAGUAGCGGCGAGCGAACGGGGAGCAGCCCAGAGCCUGAAUCAGUGUGUGUGUUAGUGGAAGCGUCUGGAAAGGCGUGCGAUACAGGGUGACAGCCCCGUACACAAAAAUGCACAUGCUGUGAGCUCGAUGAGUAGGGCGGGACACGUGGUA